AACACCGCUAUAACAAACGUUAUUGUGAACCUCGCGACGCAGAUUGACUAUUCUCGGCGACAGAGUCGCUAAACAGCAGUGCUAUAGCGCUUCUUUUGUUUCAAAUCGUCAAGCGAAUGAUAAAAACAACGCUUGUAAAGUUUAUUGACAACUUUUAUACAAGUUAACUGUGGUGAAAAAAGUUGUGUUAAUAAAACGCGCGCACGUACGCGCAAUCAUAAACAAUCCGCAGCUAUGUGCCUAGCGUGCUGCAUAUGUUUUCCAGUUAGUUGGUGUCAGUAGAUGUCAGUUGCUUAGUAGGUGUUAGACAGUGCAUAUGCGAGGAUGUCGGCGAAUGAGAACGAGCUUAAUACGAUGACGACGAAGACCGCCCAACGGUCACGACGCCCGCCACAGCCACAAUGGUCACGACGCUCGCGACAGCUACGACGGCUACGAUGGCGGUGUCUGAAAAAAUUACCGGGGCGACAUCGACGACGGCAGCGAUGGCCACGACGGCGAUCGAGCCAAUAACGUUA
Harpegnathos saltator (Jerdon's jumping ant) is the source of this 518-nucleotide long non-coding RNA. RefSeq lists it as uncharacterized. The transcript is spliced from 3 exons. NCBI's taxonomy places the organism in Eukaryota, Metazoa, Arthropoda, Insecta, Hymenoptera, Formicidae. The record is from RefSeq and is a predicted model, not a curated record.